This 406-nucleotide ribosomal RNA is filed under the name uncultured bacterium. RNAcentral's name for it is "partial 16S ribosomal RNA". It matches the Rfam family "Bacterial small subunit ribosomal RNA", at positions 28 to 526 of the family's 1533-position model. The record is from RNAcentral.
GACGAACGCUGGCGGCGCGCUUAACACAUGCAAGUCGAGCGAAGCGGCGGACGGGUGAGUAACACGUGAGUAACCUGCCUUUGACACAGGGAUAGCCUCGGGAAACCGGGAUUAAUACCAGAUAGUCAAAGAUGGACUAGUGUCGCAUUAGCUAGUUGGUGUGUACUAGCCUACCAAGGCAACGAUGGGUAGGCGGCCUGAGAUGGUGAACGGCCACAUGGGAAGUGAGAAACGGUCCAAACGCUACGGGAGGCAGCAGUGGGCAAUAUUGCACAGUGGGGGAAACGCUGAUGCAGCGACGCCGCUUGGGCGAAGAAGGUUUUCGAAGCGUAAAGCUCUGGCCUAUGUGAAGCGGUACCAUAGGAGGAAGCCCCGGCUAACUACGUGCCAGCAGCCGCGGUAAUAC